This 409-nucleotide ribosomal RNA is filed under the name Opisthopatus cinctipes. RNAcentral's name for it is "bacterial SSU rRNA". It matches the Rfam family "Eukaryotic small subunit ribosomal RNA", at positions 1000 to 1409 of the family's 1831-position model. Lineage: Eukaryota; Metazoa; Onychophora; Udeonychophora; Euonychophora; Peripatopsidae. The record is from RNAcentral.
GAAGGCGAUCAGAUACCGCCCUAGUUCUGACCGUAAACGAUGCCACCUGACGAUCCGCCAGGGUUACUACCAUGACUCGGCGGGCAGUCCCCGGGAAACCCAAGCCUUCGGGUUCCAGGGGAAGUAUGGUUGCAAAGCUGAAACUUAAAGGAAUUGACGGAAGGGCACCACCAGGAGUGGAGCCUGCGGCUUAAUUUGACUCAACACGGGGAACCUCACCCGGCCCGGACACCGCGAGGAUUGACAGAUUGAGAGCUCUUUCUCGAUUCGGUGGGUGGUGGUGCAUGGCCGUUCUUAGUUGGUGGAGCGAUUUGUCUGGUUAAUUCCGAUAACGAACGAGACUACUGGUUAAGUAGCCCGAGCGGUUUUUGAUCUUUGCCGUCCAUCCUCGUGCCGACCUUCCGCGCUU